Molecule: long non-coding RNA, 248 nt
Filed under: Setaria italica (foxtail millet)
Lineage: Eukaryota; Viridiplantae; Streptophyta; Magnoliopsida; Poales; Poaceae
Description: long non-coding RNA (SITA_LNC005911)
Source: RNAcentral
AAAGAAUGAACCGGUACAACAUAACAAGUGGCAUGUGGGUAAAUUUCGUGAAAACACCCAUCCACAGCCGGCCACAGCCACUCCCAUAGUGCUGUGAAAAACGAACUAAAAAAUGAACUGACUGUUGGUGUUUCGUACCGUCGACUAGUGAUCGUAUGUCGCGCUCUCCUCACUUCUGAUGGCUUGCACACAAGAGGCAAUGAGUUAUACUAAUUUGGGGAAAUCCAUAUGUCCAGUUUUGGCAGGAG